Molecule: ribosomal RNA, 1031 nt
Filed under: Enterococcus casseliflavus
Lineage: Bacteria; Bacillati; Bacillota; Bacilli; Lactobacillales; Enterococcaceae
Description: bacterial SSU rRNA
Rfam family: Bacterial small subunit ribosomal RNA
Source: RNAcentral
ACCGGAGCUUGCUCCACCGAAAGAAAAAGAGUGGCGAACGGGUGAGUAACACGUGGGUAACCUGCCCAUCAGAAGGGGAUAACACUUGGAAACAGGUGCUAAUACCGUAUAACACUAUUUUCCGCAUGGAAGAAAGUUGAAAGGCGCUUUUGCGUCACUGAUGGAUGGACCCGCGGUGCAUUAGCUAGUUGGUGAGGUAACGGCUCACCAAGGCAACGAUGCAUAGCCGACCUGAGAGGGUGAUCGGCCACACUGGGACUGAGACACGGCCCAGACUCCUACGGGAGGCAGCAGUAGGGAAUCUUCGGCAAUGGACGAAAGUCUGACCGAGCAACGCCGCGUGAGUGAAGAAGGUUUUCGGAUCGUAAAACUCUGUUGUUAGAGAAGAACAAGGAUGAGAGUAAAAUGUUCAUCCCUUGACGGUAUCUAACCAGAAAGCCACGGCUAACUACGUGCCAGCAGCCGCGGUAAUACGUAGGUGGCAAGCGUUGUCCGGAUUUAUUGGGCGUAAAGCGAGCGCAGGCGGUUUCUUAAGUCUGAUGUGAAAGCCCCCGGCUCAACCGGGGAGGGUCAUUGGAAACUGGGAGACUUGAGUGCAGAAGAGGAGAGUGGAAUUCCAUGUGUAGCGGUGAAAUGCGUAGAUAUAUGGAGGAACACCAGUGGCGAAGGCGGCUCUCUGGUCUGUAACUGACGCUGAGGCUCGAAAGCGUGGGGAGCGAACAGGAUUAGAUACCCUGGUAGUCCACGCCGUAAACGAUGAGUGCUAAGUGUUGGAGGGUUUCCGCCCUUCAGUGCUGCAGCAAACGCAUUAAGCACUCCGCCUGGGGAGUACGACCGCAAGGUUGAAACUCAAAGGAAUUGACGGGGGCCCGCACAAGCGGUGGAGCAUGUGGUUUAAUUCGAAGCAACGCGAAGAACCUUACCAGGUCUUGACAUCCUUUGACCACUCUAGAGAUAGAGCUUCCCCUUCGGGGGCAAAGUGACAGGUGGUGCAUGGUUGUCGUCAGCUCGUGUCGUGAGAUGUUGGGUUA